UUAGAACAAACUUAAUAAGCUACGAUUUUAUUUUUAAAUUCCCUUUGCUACUUUCUUUUUAGAAAUGGGCAAGUCUCUCUAAUCUAUUGCAUGCUGAUUGAAUGAAGUGCAGUCUUUGUGCUCGCCUUCUGACCAAACUAAUAUUUUACGCAGACAUGCAUUUUUGAUGACUCUUGGGCUGUGUUCACUUCAUGGAAUGGAAUGAGGGGAGAAUGGAAUGAAAAAUUAUAUAGGAGUUUUAAGAAAAAAGAAGAAAAUAUGAGAUAAUGAUGACAAAAUAUGAAUGUAGUUAAUUUAUUUGUGAGAAAGAUUGUGAAGAAACAUGAUGUUCAAAUGGAAUGAGCAUUCUUUCUAAAACAUGUGGGUUAGAGUUAUAGUUAAAAUAGUAAGGUUGGAAUGAUUGAAGGAAUGAAAAUUAUAUACAUUUUGUUUGAUGAACACCAUUUUAGAGUACAAAAUUCAUUCCAUUCUCCCUCCAUUCCAUUCAUUCCAAGUGAACACAACCUUGGUGUUUCCGAGCAGCGAGGCUUACACACAAUCCUUUGAAUGACUUUGUUUACAAAUUUCCUUCUAGAAGUUAGUAGGAAAAAAUUCCUUCUAAAAUCUCCAAUAAUUUAGUAACUCUUGAAUAAAUAUUGUUUAUAUUAAUUCAGUAUAUUAAGACUCAUAAAAUUUAAAUAAUAAUAAUAACAAUAGUACUUUUAGUUCCGAAUCAAGAUCAUAUUCAUGUUCAAAAAAAAAUAUAGAUAAAGACCAAGAUAAUAAGAAGAACGUAACAUUUAUAUUUGAAAGCGCUUUAUUUUUCAUCUCAAAAAAAUAAUGUGUGCUGAACAGGAGUAAAGAUACCGGUAGACUUGAAAUCAUUUUGUUU
Molecule: long non-coding RNA, 871 nt
Filed under: Daucus carota (carrot)
Lineage: Eukaryota; Viridiplantae; Streptophyta; Magnoliopsida; Apiales; Apiaceae
Description: long non-coding RNA (DCAR_LNC003047)
Source: RNAcentral